UGUCUCUGAUGAUGAUUUGCACUGGGCUCAGACAAUCUCUGGCGAGAAAAGUGCUGCUCUGCUUAUUGACAUGGCGGAGUCUGAAGAGACU
Ictalurus punctatus (channel catfish) is the source of this 91-nucleotide small nucleolar RNA. NCBI's taxonomy places the organism in Eukaryota, Metazoa, Chordata, Actinopteri, Siluriformes, Ictaluridae. The record is from Ensembl.